GCCAAAUUAAUUUGGUCAAUGGUGUCUCGGAUCUGAAACCAGUCGUCAAUCAGACGACUCAUCUUCUUGUAGAACUCGCUAUCGGUGUUGCUCAUUGUGUAAUGUCGAUAGGAGGGUUCACAUUCCUUGGCGACAACAGUAGCAGCUAUUAUGAAGCGAUUGAGCAACCCUCGGUGUAUUGGGUAACACUCUUCAGCAGGUUUGAGCAGUUUGACAUAACAACCCAUUCCUUCUUGUUCCUCCAUGAAUCUCAACAUAGUUGAGAUCUCCUUCCAUCAUCUUGGUGGUCAAUAGUUCAGGAGCCAUAUUAACCAAGUACUUGCUCAGAUAUGCCUGUGCAAAUAUUAUUAGUCUUAUCGAUACUUUGUUGAUUUAAUGAACGGGAUUGACUACUUGUGCACACAAAUAAGUGUAGGAGCCACAGGUCAUGGAAAUCCCUGUAAGUGUAGGGAAUGAAGAACCACUGCACUGAUUGACUUGAGAAAAUCGAAUGAUUUAUUAAUAGAAAUUAAGCUUAAUUCUAUCUUACCAGAAAGAAUCGGAGUUCUGUCCUUGUCUAAUCCUGUCACUUUUAUUUACUUGUAAUCUCCUGUCUCACUCAAUUUACUCAAUCGAUUAUUACAUACGUUCGGUGUUAACUUAUUCGGUUUUGACCAUGUGGCUGUCAUCGUUUCUUUCCCAUGGGAAAUAGAGCGUCGAAUUUCAAUGGAGAUUUUCAAAAAUCCCAUCCCAAAAUGUCAGAGAAUUUCACCAAUCCAGAAUUUGUUUCAUUAGCACUCUUUGGUUUGUUCGUAUACUCUUCGAAGUAUUCGUCUUCUCUGUUUUGUAAAAUCGCGUUAUUCCAUGCCUCUAGGUGUUCAUUAAAGAGCAUCAACGCAACUCAACCUAGCGUCCCAAUUUCCUGUCUGCCCUGUUGCCUCUGCAAUGCGCAUAAUCUGCGUGUAGUACAGCUGGUUCAUGUUAUGAAGGAACACUUCACGUGGGAGGCUGCGAGAUACGCCUGUCUGAAUCCUUAUUAUCUUAGCAUGACACUGCUCUACCAGAUUUCGCUAUUCGGCACCAAAUUGCCUACCGUGGGGAUGUCGUAACGCAACUCAUUAGAAGGCGGGCUCGCCUCUUUACUUACAUAUUCGGAUGGUUGCGCCGAGUACUGUCACGGUCGCCAUAUUGUGUUCCUUCGUUAUCCUUUGCGAACGAGGGACUACCACUGUUAUAAAUGCUUGAUAUCCAUAAGACUCGACGGUUCAAUUAAUAAUGAUUUAUUCUGAGCUUAAUAUUUAACCUGACUUGAAACAUGCUGACUAAGGCUCAUUUUUAGUAGUACACAUAUGUAUACAAUGAGAACGACCGGGACGAUCGUUCCCAGGUUAUGAUAGUGCUGCGUUAUCAAAACCUGCUGUUGGUGUCGUGUUAUAUUACGUUCGGUGAGAUACGGUCAAAGCGAUCGUUCCCAUGUUUGAAAAAUGCUGAUUUGAAUUCAGUGGAAAAUGUAGGUGUACUACACAAACUCACAACCACUCUACUUUACUAUUAAAACAAACUUUUUUUUCUUUACAUACAUUGACAUCGUUAGAAAUAAGAUUUCGUUGCUAUUUUAAAUAAUCAAUAUAUUAAAGAUAAUAAAUCGCGCACGGUUGAAGGCCCUACGUUGUGUUUUAUUUUAGCCUUUGGCAUUGUGAAGAGCAAUUAAGGCCAGGGGACGAGCUUCUUCGUGUUUGUCAAAAUUUCAUUCUACUGUAACGGUUUUCCUGAUGAAUGUGAUAUUGCACUGAUCGGUUCACUCGGCGUUGUUUUCACUAUGUAACAAUGUUUAUUCACAAAUUUAUUCUAAUUAUCGCGACCAUGAGACAAUAUUAAUCGUGACACUACCAAUACUUUAUCGUCACCUUUUUAUAAUUCACAAUAGUUCCACUUUAUAUUAUGCGACUACUAAAUUGAAUGUCUGUUACCAGAAAGAUCACUUAUUUUAAAUUCUUCUGCUUUUUCGUUGAAAAUUAUUCCCUUGCUGGUGGAGAUGAUUAUUUUUCCGUGUUUUCCGGCCAAUGCAUUGAUCAAACGAGCUUUGCUGCAAUUUUCAAAUCCACUCCUUUAACACUGAGUUUUGUCGGUACCAGCUUUUGAAUUUCUGCUUCCAUUUUACACACUUCAGCCCUCGUUAACUGUGCAUUUUCUUUGGAAAAUAUUAGUUUGAUUGGACGACAGAACGAUACCGAAGAAGGUAUAUCGUUGUUCCAGAUGAUUUCCUCUUUUCCAUUUUCAAACUGUCGUCGAAUGAUUCGGAUCGGAACCAAGGACAUCGCAAAUAUAUAAGCAUCACUGUAUUCCUUAAGCUCAUUAUCGUUAUCCUCAUCAAAAAACACCUGCUUGAAUCUUCAUAUAGAAAUAGGAAAAAAUUAAAAUGCAUUUGAUUCUACUAUUUCCGAUAUACUAUGUACCUUGAAUGGUUGGAACUUCCAUCACAACCCCAUUUAAAAAUCACGUGUACCCAAUCUUCCUGCAGAAUGUCUAUAUUGAGGAACUUGAUAAGGCGUAGCACUGUAUGGUCUAUUAAAGACUGUAGAGAUAUUUCCGCACAUGACGGUUUGAUAGUGAUACCUUGAAAUGUUUUGAAUUAACCAAAAUAUUAUAAAUAUUUCAAAAGCUUCUGGCAUCUAGGUUCUCAAUAGAUCGUAGAUCGUAGAUCGAGAGAUCGUAGAUCAGAAAAAUCGAAUAGUAUUUACCGUUUGGACAAUUAUCUUGUUUGGCCAAUAAAACCUUGUUGUAGCUGGGAUACAAAUGAACGCCCCUAUUCAAAGUAGUCAUCCGAAUGUCACGGUACUGCCUUUUGGAGAAAUUGUUUCUGCAAAUAAACGCUAUGGCUUCCGCGGUAUAUUCUUCAAUCUGUGGUACGUUUUCGAAAGACUCUGUUGCUGAUUCCGGAGAUCGUACGAGACUUUCAAUUCUUUUUCCAACCGAACGAAAUCCACAACGGCUAACACAUAGAGCAGAGGCCAUACCUAGCUCCUCCGGUGAAUGAUUGUUAGUUAAAUCAUGCAAACGGGUUUGUUUGCUUCUCCGGCCCAACUCGGAAAAUGGUUUCAAAGUAGGUUUUUCCACAACAGUUUGCUUAAUUUUGAACACCACAUUUCCACUUAGCCACGUUGAAUUUACGGUGAGGAAACGAUUCUUCGAACGAUUACAUUUUUUCCACAAUUUCCAGAACAUUAAACUAAAAAGUCUUAAUUUUUACGUGAGGCGGCAUUAUCCGUAUCGACACUGGGAAACCGUUGACUAACUAAAUCAAUCAAAUCACUAAGUUUUCUUCCUUCAAUAAGAAGGUUUGCUAAAUCGCUUCGUGGAACUUCCAUCUUGAAAAGUCGUAUUGCAAUGAUUGUUCCUCAGAAACAAGCAGGUUCCCAGGCAACACACGUUGUUAAGGAACAACACAAUUUGCGCAUGCGCAAAUGUGUUGCUACGCCUGCGUGAAUGUGUACUGUGGUGUUAGGUUGUACUAGUAGUGAACGCGAGUAUGAGAACGUUGUCUGAAAGUGAACAUGUUGCUAUUUCAGGAUUUUUAAUGAAAACCAAGUAUAUCCUGCACUGUAUUGACGAAAAUUCACCAACACAUGUUUACUUCAAAAUGUACAAUUUCAGAAGUUUUGAAAACAAUAUAUAGAGAAUUUUGCCGAAAAAAUUAGACACGAGGUUAAGCGUAAAAUACUAGUUACAUGAAUCUAUCUAUCAGUCAGUUCAAGAGAUACAGUUUUUUUUAUUGCAAAAUUAUCUUAAAUUGAUUCACUUUCAACUUUACCCAAGCAUAUGUACAUCAGUUUUAUCAAAUAAAAAAACUAGGCUGUAAAAACCUUACUUUUUCGACUGAAAAUGAUCAUAUUUAAACUUAUUUUAUUCGCUUUUAAGAAAUAACUUAUCUCCAAUUUUUUUUAUGACAAAGUACAAAAGUUGCUCUUUAAAAGAAACCAGAAGAUAUUUUUUUCAUCUGCCCCAUUCAGAGAUAUCAACAGUUGAAAAGGGCGUAUUUAAAAAUUAAAAGCUUAAUAGCUUUUCACCCAUAAAAGAUAUCGUUAAAGUAUAGCCACCAAAAGUUGCGUCUUUUAAAGCUCGAAAAGUCGCCUGAACAUAAUUUUACUGAGAAAAUUGAAUUAAACAAAGUAGAGCGAAAAAACCGUUUUUAAGAGCCAUCCUAGGCAAAAUUGCUCUAAUUCAGUCAAUUUAAGAGCUACAAGAAAGUAGUCUUCAACAAAGCUGCUUAAAAUCAAGUGAUCUACAACUUUACUGAAAAUAAAAUUUUAUUUUUCCACAAAUAAAAAUUUUAGUUGGUUUAUUUCGUUGGUUCUAGGACCACCCUAAUUUUCACCUCAGUUUAAAUGUAGACCAAAUUAUAAUAAGCAACUUCGCCAUAUAAAGUAUGGCUCUAAAAUCACAAAAAUGUAUCGAAAACUCCAUUUCCGCCUAAAUUGUCGUUCUGUACCACAGUGCGAUGUCUAUGUGUGCUUUGUACACGAUCACCAAUCGACUUCUGUUUUUUGUCGCUCCAAAUUCCAGGCAUUGAACUGAAGGUUCGAUGCCGGGUAGAAUUUACCUUCUCAGCAUGUUUCCACUGGUGUGGUCUGCUGGAAGUGUGAAGUCAAAACGCAUGGUAAUGACAUGUGGAAUGUCACAUGUCUCUUGUCAUUACAUGUCACAAUUGUGUGCAGUUUGUUUAAGGCGGAUGGCCUUUCGGUUUGUUUAUGUUUUGGAAUUUGAUACUACAGCAAUGGAUCUAAGAAUCCACGGGCUCGUAUAUUCCUUCUCUGGAAUACCUUUACCAUUGUCACCUAGGUCGUGAUGGAGAGAUCCUAAAUCAUCAUGUGUCAAUAUUGAUUGUUGAGAAGGAAGCUUGGUAACCUCUCUUAUUCUUCCUCCCCAUCUUCCCGGAUGAAUCAAUCGCCCUCGGAACCAAAACAUUCCAUUUGGCCCGUCUACAAUGUCAGCUGAGAUUGUGAUCGGAUCGGUCCAGAGACUCAGCACAUUCUAAUGCGUCUGAGAUCGCCUUAUAAGGCGUCUGCGGGUUUCUUGCUUUUAAUAUGAACUGCGUGGUGUUAUCUUUCAGUCCUUCUGUCUCAACAAGGUUGCUAGCAGCAGCUACGUUGGCGAAUGUUCCUUGCGAAACAUGAGCAGCAGCCAAUUUAGUGGCUAGCUUACUGAUUCUCCUACCAUCAUCUUGUUUGUCAAUAGCUCAGAAGCCAUAUUAACCAAGUACUUGCUCAGGUAUGCCUGUGCAUAAAUGAAUAGAGCGUCGAAUUUCAAUGGAGAGUUUCAAAAAUCCACUCCACAAUGUCAGAAAAUUUCACCAAUCCCGAAUUAGUGUCAUUAGCACUCUUUGGUUUGUUUGUAUCAUUCAUUCCACUUUGGGAAAUUUCAGGAUCUCCACGUCUCGUGCGGGUACGUAUACGCGAUACUUCCGAGUAAAGAGCUCGAAACAGGCUAUAUCGUUGGCUUGUUUCAGUUCAUUGACUACGACACGCAGUUUGUUCGGCCUGACUUUCGAAAUUUCGGUCACAGUGGUGUCUCGGAUCUGGAACCAGUCGUCAAUCAGGCGUCUCUUCUUCUAGUAGAACUCGCUAUCGGUGGUGUUGCGCAUGGUGUAGUGUCGAUAGGAGGAUUCACAUUUCUUGGCGACAACAGUGGCAGCUAUGAUGAGCGGUUGAGCAAACCUCUGUGUAUUGGGUAACACUCUUCAGCAGUUUGACGUACCAACCCAUUCCUUCGUGUUCGUCCAUGAAUCUCAACAUGGUUGCCGUCAUCACCUCCUCCCCUUCCAUCAUCUUGGUUGUCAAUAGCUCAGAAGCCAUAUUAACCAAGUACUUACUCAGGUAUGCCUGUGCAUACAUAAAUAGAGCGUCGAAUUUCAAUGGAGAGUUUCAAAAAUCCAGUCCACAAUGUCAGAAAAUUUCACCAAUCCAGAAUUUGUUUGGUUUGUUUGUACCAUUCAUUCCACUUUGGGAAAUCUUAGGAUUUUUCAGAUGUUUCCAUAGUCGAUCUCCACGUCUCGUGCGGGUACGUAUACGCGAUACUUCCGAGUUAAGAGCUCGAAACACUAUUUUUACACUAUUUAUCUCUUCAGUGGGCGAGAUAGAUGCCCUUUAAUGUUCUUAAGCACUGCACUUUACUUGGUUUGUUUUUGAGAACUCGCAUUUUUCUUCUUUAGGUAAGGAGCAACAUUGAAAAUACUUUAUACUUUGUUUUCUAUGCGCGUACAUUUCGCGGACAUUUUCAGUUCAUUAUUUCGCGAUCACCUCGUUGAGCACAGCGACAGAUCUAACUGCUUUCAAAGCGUUUUUACGUUCGCGUCUUUUGAAUGCAUUAUACAGUAUGAUUAUUAACUGCAUAGCAACCAUUAUUAGCACUACCCAUGACAACAGGUUGGUUUCUUCAUGAUAGGCGGUGUGCUGUUCCUGGUUGUUUAAGGACGAGCCAACGAUUUUGCUAUGUCAAUGUAGGAAGCUAGUAGUGCUGGCUUAGGCUCAAUCGCAGCAGCAUUCGCUGUUGGAUUGGAUGCCUUACUUCUUAAAACUUGUAGCUCGUAUUGAAUAACACGAAUUCCCAAAUGGUGGUGAUGGCUGAAAUGACCGUGACGCCCACUGAGUAGAGCUUGUGCUCGCCUUUAUGGCGACGAAACACUGGUUGCAAUCAUCACCUCCUCUCCUUCCAUCAUCUUGGUUGUCAAUAGCUCAGAAGCCAUAUUAACCAAGUACUUGCUCAGGUAUGCCUGUGCAUAAAUAAAUAGAGCGUCGAACUUCGAUGGAGAGUUACAAAAAUCCAGUCUACAAUGUCAGAAAAUUUGACCGAUCCCGAAUUUGUUUGGUUUGUUUGUACCAUUCAUUCCACUUUGGGAAAUCUUAGGAAUUUUCCAGAUGUUUCCAGAGUCGAUCUCCACGUCUCGUGCGGGUACGUAUACGCGAUACUUCCGAGUAAAGAGCUCGAAACAGGCUAUAUCGUUGGCAUGUUUCAGUUCAUUGAGUACGACACGCAGUUUGUUCGGUCUGACUUUCGAAAUUUCGGUCACGGUACUGUAACGUGACAUCAGGUCUUUUGAAAUUUGCAAUAUAUUCGAAGAUUUUUAUUUCGGUUCCGCCUUGGGCCAAAAGUAAACAACCAAGGGGCCUACCUUCACUGCGGAUUAACUUUACACAGCACAGAACUCGGAAAUACCGGAACCGGGCAAGCAAUGCCUUUUGUAAUCUAAAAUGCAAUAUAUGAAUGCAGAAAUAUAAGGAUAGCAUUCUUCCUUGCUACUGGACACAUUCUUGUUUUAGGAACGUCAGCCAUAUUAAUUUGGUUAAUGGUGUCUCGGAUCUGAAAUCAGUCGUCAAUCAGGCGGCUCAUCUUCUUGUUGAACUCGCUAUCGGUGUUGCUCAUGGUGUAGUGUCGAUAGAAGGGCUCACAUUUCUUGGCGACAACAGUGGCAGCUAUUAUGAAGCGGUUGAGAAACCAUUAGCAUCAUGAGCACCAUUGAGCAUCAUUAACUCGGCUUGUUGAAGCAAAAGUUUCAUCACAGGUUCUUGCAAGUCAACGUCAAUCCUCUUCUUUCCAGAGAAUACUGGCAUAGAGCAGAUCUGAUUUCCACCACCUGCCAGUGCGUCAUUCUGGGCAGCACUUGCUAGCUUAGCAAAUUUACGGAAGACGUAUGCUUCUCCUCUACUGCGAAGAGUUUCUCCGAUCUCCCUCCUGGUGUGGAAUCGGUAACCAGUCAACCAUUCUAGAUACCCAAGAUCCUCCGUGUAGGUACCCCAGACGGCAUGGAAUAACAUCUCGGACAUCAUCUACUUAUUAAGUCCAGAUUCUUAAUAAGGUCAUGAAGAGAAUCCUCUGGCAUUCCCGUAGUCUUUGCUUGCUCUAAGGUCUUCCCUGCCCAAAAGGUCCUGUACACUGCGCUUUUCUCGGCCACACCCAUUAUUAGUGCUAUGGGGAAGAAGGCCUUGUUGGCUGCAUGCGUCACUCCAAACAAACAAAAAUCAGCCAGGUUCUUCAUAAUAGCCUUCGCUCGAUCUUUGCUCCCAGCUAACAUGUUGGCAAUUUCUAGGGCAGCCGGAAUCAUUUUAAAGGUAUGCACAAAGACCUUUUUCCAGGGACCCUGAUAGUUCAUGUCAGUAGUCAUUGCAAGAUUGAUGGCGAUAGUCAUUGGACCCAAUGAGGAUUUCAUACUGGAUUGUUUCAUGGGUGGGAAGGUGCAUCCUUUCAAUGUUACCUGGUGAAAGGGUUCCAAUCCAAACUUAUGAAUGUAAACCUGUUUAGCCUCUCCAUUCUCUUUCCUUAGUGAUACGAUCCCUGAAGGUGGCCAACAAUGACAUAAUAGCGGAGAAUGCACCAAUCUUCUUCUUCGAGGCGUCUUCUCUGUUGUACGCCAUGUCGGUUCGGGGUCGGGGUUAGUUCAGAGAGAGGUUUAAGAACUCCUCCUACUUUCAUGGUAGUUGCUGGAACCAAACGGGCAUUCAGUUCUCCAACGCCAUUCACUGCUUGUCUCUUCAGGUUGUGUAUGGUGAAGAUAAUGGAGGAGAUAUCGGCCAUUGUAUCAAUGUUGGUCUUCUCUCGUUCAUCAUACUGGAUGCGGAAUGCCCCAUGCAGGUGGAGGAUAAGCCCAAUAAUCGACUUCUUUCGUGCUGGGUCCACUGGUGCUCUUUGACGUUUGGGAUCAGGCUCCACAUUUCCGUCCAAAUCAGCGUAGAUCCUCUUGGUACACACCACUGGCCUUGCUGGCCUACUUCAGCAACCUCCAUCGGGGUUUCAUCUACUACUUGAGGUGCAGGUGGGGUAGCCAACAUAGUUGCAAUCAUUACUCCUCUUCUUCCAUCAUCUUGGUGGUCAAUAGCUCAGGAGCCAUAUUAACCAAGUACUUGAAUUUCAAUGGAGAGUUUCAAAAAUCCAGUCCACAAUGUCAGAAAAUUUCACCAAUCCAGAAUUAGUCUCAUUAGCACUCUUUGGAUUGUUUGUACCAUUCAUUCCACUUUGGGAAAUUUCAGGAUCUCCACGUCUCGUGCGGGUACAUAUACGCGAUACUUCCGAGUAAAGAGCUCGAAACAGGCUAUAUCGUUGGCUUGUUUCAGUUCAUUGACUACGACACGCAGUUUGUUCGGUCUGACCUUUGAAAUUUCGGUCACGGUACUGUAACGUGACAUCAGGUCUUUCAUACUUGUAUUAGGACCGACAGCCAUAUUAGUUUGGUCAGUGAAGUCUCGGAUCUGAAACCAGUCGUCAAUCAGGCGUCUCAUCUUCUUGUAGAACUCGCUAUCGGUGUUGCGCAUGGUGUAGUGUCGAUAGGAGGGUUCACAUUUCUUGGGAACAACAGUGGCAGCUAUAAUGAAGCGGUUGAGCAACCUCCUGUGUAUUGGGUAACAACACUCUUCAGCAGGUUUGAGCAGUUUGAUAUAACAACCCAUUCCUUCUUAUUCCCCCAUGAAUCUCAACAUAGUUGAGAUCUCCUUCUAUCAUCUUGGUGGUCAAUAGCUCAGGAGCCAUAUUAACCAAGUACUUGCUCAGGUAUGCCUGUUCAAAUGCUAAUAGUCUCAUCGAUACUUUGUUAAUUUAAUAAACGGGAUUGACUACUUGUACACACAAAUAAGUGUAGUGGUCUAUCUUGGGCUCCCUACCGGGUCUGUAAUGAAGGUUAAUUAUAAUUGUUGAUUAUUAUUAUUAAUUAGUAAUCAUUUAAUAAUUAAUUGACAUAAAGUUCUGUAUCUAUUGGAUUUGCUUGCUUUAUUCUCUUGAUUUUUAUGCAGUCUAGUCUUUUGAGUUUCUAAUAGCUGAACACUUUUUAUCCUCGCUGUUCGUAGUUUUUGUCUGAGCUCUAAGUGAUACUAUUCAAUAUAUAAGUUUGUAUGUAUUUUAUUUUGAGAAGUUAGUCCGAACUAAAACUAGGGGUUUUUCACGCUUUAGCCGUUAAUCAUCCGGUUACCGUGCUGAACUGUUCUUUGCUAGAGUCAUUUUUUCUAGCUGAGAUAAAAUCAAAGCGCAUCUAGUUGUAUAUUGUUGGUCUAUUUGCUUGUAUGGUGUUCUACAGAGGCUACGAAAUGUGGCAUGUGCAUCACACAUGGCAUCGAAUCCUGUUCAAUCACAGCAGAACGCAUAAGAAGAUCUCUUUCAAGUGCUCCACCGGGAUGGACGUUCCGUUGAUCUCAAUUAAAUCCUCAUCUUUGACCUUUUCCUUGACUGAUCCGGAUUUGUUUGCAUGUUGCUUUAUGGUGGUGUAGAUGGUCCAUAGGGUAGCUGUGACUUUGCUAACUUCAUCAAUGUCAUGGCCUUGAGGAGGGUUGAGGUCAAAACCGAAUCUCUUGAGGAGUGCCACAUGCAAGUGGUGAACUGCCAACCUCAUCUUCCUGUUAAGGGUUAGGUUUAUCUCAGGCUUUGAUAGAGCUUUGGAGCUAGUCUUCUGUUGCACUCGUAUGUAAAUCAUCUCGCUUCUGUUGCAUUCGUACAAUAAUCAGCUUAAUUUCUCGAAUUGGUAUGUUGUAGUGUUAUUUUCCGACGGGUUUACUGUCAUCCCGUUUCGCGCACUUUCAGUUUAUUUCGCACUGUUCCCUAAAUCGUUUUUGUAGACACACACUUGUGUACACUGUCACUUUGUCAGUUUUUUAAAUUGUGGUCAGAUCCGAAAUAGUUUUUGCAGCUUUCAAAGCCUGCGCACGGGUGUGUUCUUUGUAAAGUUUGUACACUGUUAUAAGCAAUUGCACAGAGACGAUCACGAGUAUAAUCGUGAGUUUGACUUCGUGCUCUCUAUGCUGCUCUGCGUGAAUUUCCAGUCUAUUUAAAACUUGGACCUAGGGGUCCCCGGAAUUCUGUGAUUCUUUUGACUUUUCGUUCCCCAUGUUGACAAUUAACGCUGGUCAUUAUUUAAACUUGUUUUUCGUGAGGGGAAUAAGUCACUUCACACCGAUUAUCACGUCGUUUGUUCACUGCUGCAGUUUACGAUUAGCUCAGAAAUUCAGCUUCUUCUUAUUUGCACUUAUUACUUAUUACACAAAUAUUCUUCACUUAAUGCAUUUUUUGGAGAAGGCUGUGCUUGGUUUUAAUGUCACUGGUCGCCAUGUAGGCAUGAUGUCGGCAUGUCAUCGUGACUGAUUUUAAACACCUUACGUGUUGAGUAUCAACUUAGGAAUGAAUCUUUAUUUCAGUAAUUGGCUUAACCUAACCUCCUAUUUACUGGAGAUACUUGAAGUCAUUAUGUAUCGAUCAGCCAAUCGGUGAUCGAUGCAGAAGGCGGGAGAGAGCUAAGUAUUGAGAGAGAGACCGCCUGGUCAGCGCAUCGUCGCUGCAUGUAGCUUGGGAAUGGAAUGGCUUGGGAACAGCCAUAAAACAAUGACUCUGUAAAAUGACACUUUCAUGGGAAAGUGUUUAUGCAAGGCAGCAACGAUGGGUUGAUGACUGACGAGGGUUUUGACUUGGAAUCAGCAUGACGCAACUUAUGCGUUCUGCUGUGAUUGAACAGGAUUCGAUGCCAUGUGUGAUGCACAUGCCACAUAUGCCUGUUCAAAUGCUAAUAGUCUCAUCGAUACUUUGUUAAUUUAAUAAACGGGAUUGACUACUUGUACACACAAAUAAGUGUAGUGGUCUAUCUUGGGCUCCCUACCGGGUCUGUAAUGAAGGUUAAUUAUAAUGGUUGAUUAUUAUUAUUAAUUAGUAAUCAUUUAAUAAUUAAUUGACAUAAAGUUCUGUAUCUAUUGGAUUUGCUUGCUUUAUUCUCUUGAUUUUUAUGCAGUCUAGUCUUUUGAGUUUCUAAUAGCUGAACACUUUUUAUCCUCGCUGUUCGUAGUUUUUGUCUGAGCUCUAAGUGAUACUAUUCAAUAUAUAAGUUUGUAUGUAUUUUAUUUUGAGAAGUUAGUCCGAACUAAAACUAGGGGUUUUUCACGCUUUAGCCGUUAAUCAUCCGGUUACCGUGCUGAACUGUUCUUUGCUAGAGUCAUUUUUUCUAGCUGAGAUAAAAUCAAAGCGCAUCUACCCUCUGCAUGAACGAGUUUGUAACACAAAAUAAAAUUGAAUAAAUAAUACCUGCAAAUUUAUAGCAAUGUUUUGUGUUUUUGAGUUUAUUAUUUAUGAACUCGAAUAAACCUGUGUGCAAUGUUCUUCUAACUUUUAUGUAGUAUUCUUGUUUGAUUAUCUUUAACUUUACUUCGUUCUUGACGAGAAGUUCUGAAAUUGAGUUGUAAGUCUCGCUUGUGACAGCCGAGUGUUUGGUUAACGUUAUCCGGUUAUAUUUUCUAUACGGAUUUUUCACAAGAGUUGCUACUUCGGUGUUGGUCAUGAUUUCUUUGCUGGUCGAUAUUAGUAGAAAUCCCUGUUGUUCCGGUGAAAUCGAAAGAAUCCAGUGUGUCAAAUGUUUCCUCUUCGUAUAUAAGUGUGCAAGUGCAGGCGUGAUCGCAAGGGCUCUCAUGCUCUUUUGACAUCUCUUUAUUUUUGCUAACGCUUACUGCUAAAACUCUCCUUUAGAGUUAUUUCAAGAGUUCCGAAUGCGCAAAUCUGUCAAUGACUGUUUGCGUUCUCUAAUUCGUCUCACCAGCGACUGUUAUUUUUUAUUAAUCCAAUCGUCCAUCUUUCUGUUGCAUCAGAUUCGUAUAAAAAAAAAACAAAUAAAUCGAGUUCGCUUCCAAUAAUUAACCUCAGACUUGUACUCACAAUGAUGCGUGGUUUUUUCUUGAUCGUACUUUUAAAUAUAUAGGGUAUCGAACCUCUUCGUCAGUGGUUUUCUUCGGCAGGUUUGCUGCAGCAAUCUUAUGCAAAAACCUGCCGAAGAAAACCACUGACGAUGACGUUCGCUGCCGGUGCUGCGGAGUCAGCAGUAAAUGUGUUAGGUGCUUCAGACCCGCGACGCGUUCUCUUUUCGCACCCGGGUAGCAUCGUCCUUCAGUUGUCGUAGCCGCUUCUGGCUUCGCCGCCAGUGAUACAGCAGGGCGGCGAUGAGAUGGCCCCGUUGAACGAGUAGGAAGCCACGUCGUGUAUACUUAUCUGGUUCUCCACCACGUUGUCUUCCCCGAAUGACCACAUUAUCACGUUGCAUUGUUGAUACUGUAUGUGGCGUGUGGUGAUUCUCAUCGGAGUUUUGUCGCUCCGACGUAGGCCUGAUUCUGCUGAAUCAGCUCCCCUGGUCGUUGGAACCCGAUAAUGCGUGGGUUCUCACUGACGACGAUGUUUGGUGCAUCGAUUUCGGCUUAAGCAUCGCCACUUACAUUGCAUAUAUUGACCUCGUUAGAAAUAAGAUUGCCCCUUGAACUGUACUUUGAACCACGAGUGUAAAGAUGAUUAAUGUAGCACUGUGCUGGUUCUUGACACCAGUCAACUCGCGAUUUUUUUAUACAGGCACUUGAAUCACUAUUCCAAGAGUUUUUCACUAAGUUUAUCGCUUAUUCCCUUCCCAAAGCAGUGUGGCUGUUUCUUUUGAUUUUUCCUAAUUUUCACUAUUUUCUUGUAUUGUCAUUUACAUUUUUUUAUGUUGUCCGAGGAUUUCGCAAAACCUCUCCGGAAUGCUCUUCUAGCAACGUUCUUUUGAUGCUACCGGAACACGAUUAUUGUGACAUUUUGUGACAUAUGGGGACAUUUCAACUUAAUAAUAAGAUAAAUAAAUGAAAAAAAAAUACUGCCUAUCUCUCCCACUUGAUUAGCAGCUCGAUCGUUAACUUAAUCGUCUUGCGCACUGGCGCUCCGUAAACAACCCGGUAACUCAGCAACGAGUUUUACACGGUGUGACCAAAUUUUCUUGCGUCGCGUCUGUUUAUUCGGAUUCUACAUUAUCAAGAGGAUUCAGGAAGGAAUAAGAAAAAAAUAACCCUUAGCGAGAAGACCGUCAAUUGGGAGUUUUUUUUAUAUAAAUGGGAAGAGCUUCCCAACUAUCACACUGUGGUAUGUUAGGAGAUUGUGAAAUAAACCCAUCCACUAUACUUUGCUAUUAAAGUAAUUGUUUCUCACAUUACAUACAUUGACCUCGUUAGAAAUAAGAUUGCCCUGUCGUAUUUGGUUCGGAUUUUGUGAUACACAACAGAGAGUUAAUAACUUCCUUCUCGCGUGCCUGUCUGGACGGGACUGACUCACUUCUUUAUUUCUAUUCUUCGCUUAAACUAUACCACUGGCGAUGACCGGCAGCAUAACGCGGGGUCAGCAAAGUGCUCGAUCGCAUGACGGCAGUACAGUCGCUUUACGCCUACGUCGGCAUAUCACGCUGAACCAUCGCUUGCUCGACCGAACUACACGCCACACACCGCGCAGCUAUCCGAGCCAUCUACCACACGCCCUAUUUAUUUUUUUAUAAAAUUUUUCACUAUAGUUAUAAAUUUUAUAUAGUUUCAGAUUGAACAAUUAAUGAUAUUAUAUCCGAAAAAUCGUGUCCAUCUACCACACGCCUUAUUAAUUGUAUAAACCUUACUCACUAUUGGUUAUAAAAGGUUUACAUCUAGUUUUAUGUAUUAUAUCUAUUUUGUCUCCUAUUCUUAUUUCUACAUUAGGACCCUUAUCUGCGGUUACUGGAUAUGGUCCUUAAUAUAUUUUACUCAACUUAGAUCCUGUUUCAUUUUUUACAAGAAUUAGUUGACCUACAUUAUAUCUUAUAUCUUUUGCAUUGACAUUAUAUUUGGUUAUUCUUUUCAUUUUAGAGUUUAUUAAUUUGUCUCUUGUCUCCUUUUGUGUUUUUUGUAAUUUAUAUUUCAGAAGUUUUGCAUAGUCCUCUACGUUGUAUAGGGUAUCUGCCUUGUCGUUUUCGCUCAGAUUAGAUGGUAAUCUACACAAUUUUCCAAAAACUAAUUCAAAAGGCGUCAUAUUUGUUUCUAAGUGUGUUGUAUUAUAUGCAAAUUGGUAAUACUUUAUCCAAGAUGCCCAGUUUCCUUGUGUUCCUGAUGCGUAUAUUCUUAGAAAUUUGCCUAACGUUUUGUGUGAAUUCUCUAAAGCUCCCACUGUCUGAUGGUGGUAUGCCGUGGAAUUCAGCUUUUUAAUUCUUAGAAGAUUGCAAAUUUUUUGAAAUAGCUCAGACAUGAACUCUGUUCCUCUGUCGGUUGCUAUUUCCUCAGGAAUCCCAUAAUUUAAAAGAACAUUCUCGACGAAAGCUCUUGCUACAACAUUUGUGGAUUUAUCUUGUAUUGGUGUUGCAGUUACGAACUUAGUCAGUUCGCACUGGGUUGUCAGAAUGUAUUGACAUCCCUCGUUGCUUGGUGGCAAUGGACCAACUAAAUCCAAAUAUAUUUUAUUAAAUGCACUUGUUGCAGUUGUUGUUUGCAUCAUGGGUGUCUUGUUCGGUUUUACGUGUUUGUUCUUUUGACAAAUUUCACAUGAACGAACGUAAUUCGAUAUGUCUUUCGACAUGGUCUUCCUUAUUUUUUUUAAUGCUUUAUUUAUUCCUGCGUGCCCUGCCGUUGGCAAUAAAUGUAAAUCAUUUAUUAUUAAUUCUUGUUACUUUGGAUCUACGAUAUGCUUUACUUUAUUAUUUACCAAUCUUAUUGGUGGCAUGCCUUUCAUUAAAUUAUUAGUGUACACUUCAUUAUAAAAUUUUUUCGCGCGUUCAUUUUAGUCACUGAUGUCACUGAUGGUUUUACUUAACGCUUAAAUUCUAUGUUACAUUGAAACUUACUGCUAGCUCUAGAGUGUUUUCGCGAGGGACAAUUUCCCCUCGCGGAACCACUCCCUAUCUCUGUAAUGCUAAUGGCCCUUCUCGGCCUUUCUCUGUUUUAGUACUCUCAUUCGUGGGUUUAAUCUCACUUAGUCUAAUUCUACCGAGAGCGGUGAGCCGUGCGCUCUGCCACUCCGUCGUGUUUGUGAACAAUCACCGGUAACUCACCCUCGCGAUGCGACGACGAGUCACCCAAGCCAAGCGGAAGACUUGGCUUCAACUGUAAGCAAGCCACGUCGUCUCCGAAUGGUCACAUUAUUGCGUUGCGUUAUCGAUACAAUAUGUGGCGUGUGGUGAUUUUCCGCAGAGUUUUAUCCGCUCCGAAGCACGUGCAAGAGCGUAUGAUAUUCGAAAUUCCAGUUUAUAUUAAAAUUGUUUCUCAUUAAAACUGCGCACGAGGUCGAAGCUCUUCCCGGGCUAAAGAAGAUUUUGGCCCGACUAACACAUGCUUCGUAACGGAACGUCGCAUCACCGAAGGGGCUCUGCUGAAUUCUCGUAUUAUGAGUUUCCAUACUCCUUUGACAGUGAACGCAAUAAUAAUAAAGCCAACACAAGUUGCAAUGAAGUUCAACGGGCCAAUUCCACUCCAUUAUGCACCCGGAAAAUAAAAGUUUUCAAGCGUAUCGUUUCGGUGCAGUUUUUAAACUUAUCCUUAAUUUAGGUUCGCCACCGACUUUGGUGAUUUGUUUCGCCACUAUACAUAAGAUCAGAUAAAUGUUUAUUUCGUGAUCCGCGUGUUUCCUGUCACGGUCGCCAUGUACCAUUUGCAGGAUCAGUGUGAUUUAUCGACGAUCUACUCUUCUUACUUUUUUCUUGGAGCUUGGAGGCUCGAUCACUUCAUUCAACUGCGUACACACUUCUUCUGGUAUUUCUUGGGCUUUUCGAAAAAAAAAAUCAAUGAUAAACUGAAAGCAGAUAUUUUUUACCUUUUUCGGCCAAAUAAAAUCGGCCACUCGGAAAUACCAUAGAGAAACGUGCCAAACACUUUUAACAAUCGAAUAGUACACAAAAGCAAAAGCUGCGAUUCCGAUUAAUUUGAUUGUUUGUUUUUUAGAAUAUCGUCUGAAUUAUGUGAACCACGAUUGUGGUUGAGUACAGGUGCAAUCCUGGCAACGAAAAACAAAGAUAUCGGCUAUUUUAAUUUUAUUAAAACAUUGUCUAUUCGCUAGAUUUUUCCCUACACUCACGUGUGUAGGUUAUAACCUACCAGGGAAUUCUUCUACUAAAUAUCCCUGUACGCGCCUUUGGCGCGAAAUUAAUACACAAGAUAACGGUGGACUAACUGACUUUAUUUUCGUACAUCACUACUUAAAUAUACCCUACCGGUAACUCAGAGAGAGAGACUUUCUCCACUCUCUGUUUACCUUACUAAUCUCUUAACCUAUAAUCUAGUACCGCAUGUACGAUAGAACGCAUACGAGAGCAUCAACACCGUUGAACCGGCGACUUCUGUUUUGUUUAUAACACAAAACUUGUUUAUUUUAUUCGAGUUUGUUUGCCUGUAGCACAGCAGAAGGCUGCGCGAAGUUCUUUGCCACCUGUGGCAUAAUCUGUUGAUACAUAGAGUGUUGACAGAGACGUUCGCGGUCCUCUGUCAAGGGAACCAAAUGUUUCGCCUGACUAAAGCAUAGCAGAAGGCUAUGCCCUCCUAGGAACAAAAUUAAACUUUAAUUAUAAGGCUCGUGACGGAGCAUUGGGUUCUUCGCAGGGUGUGACGUAACAUCUGCCACCCCGCCUAGUUGGCCAUUAUCUAGAAGAGACAAUGGUCACAUGGUCUGUUCUGAUGGCCGAUAGGUGUGUUUUUCUCUACAAUUAUUUUUUUAUUACAAUUAUUCUAGUUUUUAUGCAACUAUAUACACCGUUGUUUUUUUAUAUGUUUUUUUUUUUUUUCUCUGGCAGUUUACAUUAGUUUACAUUAUCAUACAUGACAUUUUCCUUAUUUAGAAUUAAAAAUUGCUUGCUCGCCUGAUGCGCUGCGUCGUGAAGAUGUCCGCCGCUUGGCUGUCGUAUUCAAGCGACGGGUUACAGGGGGUUUGAAACGAGAGGGUGCGUCUGGCAGUAGAGGUUCUCAUCGGUUGGUUGUGGUGUCAUCCUCGCGAACUCAUCCCUAAGGCUUCAUCGGGUUAUUUCCAAUAGUUCAAUGGUUAUAAUUGCACUUCAAUGAAGGCUGCAGUUCAUCUGGCUGUUUUACGAUUGUUCAGAGUGUGUUGUUGAACUUUAAUGUUGGGUUAGCCGUGUCCCUUUGACAUAGAUCGGCUGUAUUUUUGUUUGGCUUAUAGUAUUGUUACGCGUCGUGUGGCGAAAAGAUUUGCGAUUGCCACUGGCUCAGUUUCACAAUGCAGUCACUUGGUUUAUCAUCUUUAACUGUCUGCGCGGGGUGUCCAAUUAACCGCUAACAUAUGUGCGCACACUUUCAGAUCGUAGUGCGGAAAGAACAUAGUUGAUUAAACACGAGCAAAAUUUUAUAGCGUCAUUUUGCUUGUUUGGCUUUGACCUCGAAUCCUCAUUUGUAGAAGUCAAUAACUCUCAAUGAGUAAUAUAUAUUUGGAACAAAUUAUUACGCCCUUCGCUGUGUAGUUUGCUGGAUUCGUCUUCGCGCUGAAAUCUCGAUUCUGGCUCGACCAUGAGCCGCAUUGAUUGAGUUCUGUUGCACAUCUGACCUCUUCAGGGAUCAAAAACUGGAAACUGCUCGUCUCCUCUUGGUAAUAACGUAUGAUUUACCUCCAUCUCGACCAUAGACACCCGCCGUUCAACUCCCCUCGCAACCGUCUGCUUUCCUUUUCGCGCUGUACUGGGCAUCAUGGUAUGCCCCAUCUCGACAUCCGUUGUAAUCACCUCGGUCGUCUUCGAAGAUCGGGAACUCGUCUCGUUGUCAAUUCUUAAAUGCUAGCUGCCCUACUUAGAUUAAAACUCCGAAAAACUAUUUCAUUUUUCACUGAACCACAGAUAUUUAAACCACUACUUUUUCUUUUUGCUCCCUUAGCGUGAUUACUACGACCGAGUUUACGACCGCGUCUGACUUCCGAGAUACGUCCGAUUAAAGAAAAGAUUCAAUGGCGCGGAAAAGAUCCCACCGCUGUCACCACGUGUGUAGGUUAUAACCUACCAGGGAAUUCUUCUACUAAAUAUCCCUGUACGCGCCUUUGGCGCGAAAUUAAUACACAAGAUAACGGUGGACUAACUGACUUUAUUUUCGUACAUCACUACUUAAAUAUACCCUACCGGUAACUCAGAGAGAGAGACUUUCUCCACUCUCUGUUUACCUUACUAAUCUCUUAACCUAUAAUCUAGUACCGCAUGUACGAUAGAACGCAUACGAGAGCAUCAACACCGUUGAACCGGCGACUUCUGUUUUGUUUAUAACACAAAACUUGUUUAUUUUAUUCGAGUUUGUUUGCCUGUAGCACAGCAGAAGGCUGCGCGAAGUUCUUUGCCACCUGUGGCAUAAUCUGUUGAUACAUAGAGUGUUGACAAAGACGUUCGCGGUCCUCUGUCAAGGGAACCAAAUGUUUCGCCUGACUAAAGCAUAGCAGAAGGCUAUGCCCUCCUAGGAACAAAAUUAAACUUUAAUUAUAAGGCUCGUGACGGAGCAUUGGGUUCUUCGCAGGGUGUGACGUCACACACGAAUGAUAGGCCAACCGCAUGAGUUUUACGAUUUUAUUCACACGAUAUGGCAUAAGUUUUACGGUUUUAAUCACAACAAAAUUCACAUGAAAAUAAAUAAAUUUUCACACUUCUGCAUUCGGCGUUCUUGUUAAUAGAAGGUUUUUUUUCUGUCCCUUCGUUAUUCUCGGGGUUUUAAGAUUUGUUCAUUAAGUGAUUACCGCACAUACUGUUGUAUUUGGUUCGGAUUUUGUGAUACACAACAGAGAGUUAAUAACUUCCUUCUCGCGUGCCCGUCUGGACGGGACUGACCCACUUCUUUAUUUCUAUUCUUCGCUUAAACUAUACCACUGGCGAUGACCGGCAGCAUAACGCGGGGUCAGCAAAGUGCUCGAUCGCAUGACGGCAGUACAGUCGCUUUAGGCCUACGUCGGCUGAACCAUCGCUUGCUCGACCGAACUACACGCCACACACCGCGCAGCUAUCCGAGCCAUCUACCACACGCCCUAUUUAUUUUUUUAUAAAAUUUUUCACUAUAGUUAUAAAUUUUAUAUAGUUUCGGAUUGAACAAUUAAUGAUAUUACACCGAAAAUUCGUGUCCAUCCACGCCUUAUUAAUUGUAUAAUCCUUACUCACUAUUGGUUAUAAAAGGUUUACAUCUAGUUUUAUGUAUUAUAUCUAUUUUGUCUCCUAUUCUUAUUUCUACAUUUGGACCCUUAUCUGCGGUUACUGGAUAUGGUCCUAAAUAUAUUUUACUCAACUUAGAUCCUGUUUCAUUUUUUACAAGAAUUAGUUGACCUACAUUAUAUCUUAUAUCUUUUGCAUUGACAUUAUAUUUGGUUAUUCUUUUCAUUUUAGAGUUUAUUAAUUUGUCUCUUGUCUCCUUUUGUGUUUUUUGUAAUUUAUAUUUCAGAAGUUUUGCAUAGUCCUCUACGUUGUAUAGGGUAUCUGCCUUGUCGUUUUCGCUCAGAUUAGAUGGUAAUCUACACAAUUUUCCAAAAACUAAUUCAAAAGGCGUCAUAUUUGUUUCUAAGUGUGUUGUUGUAUUUUAUGCAAAUUGGUAAUACUUUAUCCAAGAUGCCCAGUUUCCUGGUGUUCCUGAUGCGUAUAUUCUUAAAAAUUUGCCUAACGUUUUGUGUGAAUUCUCCAAAGCUCCCACUGUCUGAUGGUGGUAUGCCGUGGAAUUCAGCUUUUUAAUUCUUAGAAGAUUGCAAAUUUUUUGAAAUAGCUCAGACAUGAACUCUGUUCCUCUGUCGGUUGCUAUUUCCUCAGGAAUCCCAUAAUUUAAAAGAACAUUCUCGACGAAAGCUCUAGCUACAACAUUUGUGGAUUUAUCUUGUAUUGGUGUUGCAGUUACGAACUUAGUCAGUUCGCACUGGGUUGUCAGAAUGUAUUGACAUCCCUCGUUGCUUGGUGGCAAUGGACCAACUAAAUCCAAAUAUAUUUUAUUAAAUGCACUUGUUGCAGUUGUUGUUUGCAUCAUGGGUGUCUUGUUCGGUUUUACGUGUUUGUUCUUUUGACAAAUUUCACACGAACGAACGUAAUUCGAUAUGUCUUUCGACAUGGUCUUCCUUAUUUUUUUUAAUGCUUUAUUUAUUCCUGCGUGCCCUGCCGUUGGCAAUAAAUGUAAAUCAUUUAUUAUUAAUUCUUGUUCCUUUAGAUCUACGAUAUGCUUUACUUUAUUAUUUACCAAUCUUAUUGGUGGCAUGCCUUUCAUUAAAUUAUUAGUGUACACUUCAUUAUAAAAUUUUUUCGCGCGUUCAUUUUAGUCACUGAUGUCACUGAUGGUUUUACUUAACGCUUAAAUUCUAUGUUACAUUGAAACUUACUGCUAGCUCUAGAGUGUUUUCGCGAGGGACAAUUUCCCCUCGCGGAACCACUCCCUAUCUCUGUAAUGCUAAUGGCCCUUCUCGGCCUUUCUCUGUUUUAGUACUCUCAUUCGUGGGUUUAAUCUCACUUAGUCUAAUUCUACCGAGAGCGGUGAGCCGUGCGCUCUGCCACUCCGUCGUGUUUGUGAACAAUCACCGGUAACUCACCCUCGCGAUGCGACGACGAGUCACCCAAGCCAAGCGGAAGACUUGGCUUCAACUGUAAGCAAGCCACGUCGUCUCCGAAUGGCCACAUUAUUGCGUUGCGUUAUCGAUACAAUAUGUGGCGUGUGGUGAUUUUCCGCAGAGUUUUAUCCGCUCCGAAGCACGUGCAAGAGCGUAUGAUAUUCGAAAUUCCAGUUUAUAUUAAAAUUGUUUCUCAUUAAAACUGCGCACGAGGUCGAAGCUCUUCCCGGGCUAAAGAAGAUUUUGGCCCGACUAACACAUGCUUCGUAACGGAACGUCGCAUCACCGAAGAGGCUCUGCUGAAUUCUCGUGUUAUGAGUUUCCAUACUCCUUUGACAGUGAACGCAAUAAUAAUAAAGCCAACACAAGUUGCAAUGAAGUUCAACGGGCCAAUUCCACUCCAUUAUGCACCCGGAAAAUAAAAGUUUUCAAGCGUAUCGUUUCGGUGCGGUUUUUAAACUUACCCUUAAUUUAGGUUCGCCACCGACUUUGGUGAUUUGUUUCGCCACUAUACAUAAGAUCAGAUAAAUGUUUAUUUCGUGAUCCGCGUGUUUCCUGUCACGACCGCCAUGUACCAUUUGCAGGAUCAGUGUGAUUUAUCGACGAUCUACUCUUCUUACUUUUUUCUUGGAGUUGCUUUAGGAUGUACUCGAUCACUUCAUUCAACUUCAUUCACACUUCUUCUGGUAUUUCUUGGGCUUUUCGGAAAAAAAUCAAUGAUAUAUUUUACCUUUUUCAGCCAAAUAAAAUCGGCCACUCGGAAAUACCGUAGAGAAACGUGCCAAACACUUUUAACAAUCGAAUAGUGCACGGAAGCAAAAGCUUCGACUCCGACUAAUUGGAUUGUUUGUUUUUUAGAAUAUCGUCUGAAUUAUGUGAACCACGAUUGUGGUUGAGUACAGGUGCAAUCCUGGCAACGAAAAACAAAGAUAUCGGCUAUUUUAUUUUUAUUAAAACAUUGUCUAUUCGCUAGAUUUUUCCCUACACUCACGAAUGAUAGGCCAACCGCAUGAGUUUUACGAUUUUAUUCACACGAUAUGGCAUAAGUUUUACGGUUUUAUUCACAACAAAAUUCACAUGAAAAUAAAUAAAUUUUCACACUUCUGCAUUCGGCGUUCUUGUAAAUAGAAGGUUUUUUUUCUGUCCCUUCGUUAUUCUCGGGGUUUUAAGAUUUGUUCAUUAAGUGAUAACCGCAUAUACUGUUCCCAAAUGCAAUGUGGUGAAAUAUUCAAUAUCUGUUCCCCUGAUUCUAACUGUUCAUGUGUUUCGGUAUUAUAAAAACUCGAACCUCUCGGGUGUAUGGUCGAUUCAAGAGUGUUUUAUUUUUUCUUUUCCUUAGUCUAUACAGGCCGUACGAUCGCAGAUCGAUACGUGACCUUUAAUGCUGUGCUCAGCAUAAUCGCCGUCGCCCGUUCAUCGCGCGGGUGGCGUGAUAGCGUUUAUGCUAAUUACAGUGUUAACACUACUUAAGUUUAUUUUAUUAUUUCCUUUCGCUUAUCUUAGAAGGGCCGUAUCCACCACUGUGGGAUCUCGCCGGAAUCUCCAGUUGGGUUUUCUUUCUAGCUAAAGAAAAGACGACUACACUUUACUGUGGUCGAACAUCGAAUGUAUAAUUUUUCUCAACUUAAAUUACAUUACCCUAAACCUACAGUUCACUGUUGCUGUCGUGUUGCGAUGUUUGUCAACACCGAGAAUGCUAACGCCAGCAUGUGGUGCGACGUGACUAGGUCACUGAUGCUCGAUGUCGGUCUACUCGUUGGCAACAUGUGUUGCGUCGUAUCCAGGUCAUCGGUGCUCGGCGGUGGUCUCGUUGCCAUCGGACGGUGAGUGGCGUAGAUGCAUUCUUUUUCCAGGAUGAACCUUCGUUGCUAACUCGCACCGAGUUCGUCCGCGCGGAACCGGCUUUACUUAACGAUUAAAUUCUAUGUUACAUUGGAACUAACUGCUAGCUCUAGAGUGUGUUCCGCGACAGACAAUUUCCCCUCGCGGAACCACUCCCUAUCUCUGUUAUGCUAAUGGCCCUUCUCGGCCUUUCUCUGUUUUAGUACCUUAAUCCCAUUAAGUCUAAUUCUAUCGAGAGCGGUGAGCCGUGCGCUCUGCCACUCCGUCGUGUUUGUAAACAAUCACCGGUAACUCACCCUCGCGAUGCGGCGACGAGUUACCGGCCCAUUAAGUACCGAACCGCGGCCUCUUGUUCAAUUAAUUGUGCUUACGGGUGGCAGUUUUUGUCACCCAAGCCAAGCGGAAGACUUGGCUUCAACUGUAAUCAAGCUCGGACCUACUUUCAUGGAUAGCUGAAAGCUGUGUCAACAUACGGAGAAACCGGUAGAGAACCGGCUAUACGCCACUUAAUGUGACAGAACCCUGUAGGAAGCUAUUAAGGGAUGCAACGUUUGUACCGCUGAACAUGCACUAAGUGCACGGAACCACUUCAGUUCGUAUAAGGUGAUGAUGAUCAACUUCAUUGCUCAACAGUCGGACUUAAAUAUUAACCUGCGGGUAACUCGGAGCAAGAGGCUUUCCCCUCUGAUUUGUACCAGUUAAAAAUGUUGGAUUUCUUUUGUUUCUUAUGACGACAUGAUGACAUCUGAAUGUCACGGAGAUACGAAUGCAACUAACUUUUAUUUUUACAUUUAAAAAUGUGCAGAAUUCGUCUUCUUUUAACCCUGCAGGCGGUUGCCGCCGUCAAACCUAAAGGAAAGAUUUUUGUUACCUUUUCUCUGUUAUCAAUUGCAGUGGUAAAAGCUGCGACUCGACUAAUUUGAUUGUUUGCUUUUUAGAAUAUCGUCUGAAUUAUGUGAACCACGAUUGUGGUUGAGUACAGGUGCAAUCCUGGCAACGAGAAAAAAAGAUAUCGGCUAUUUUAUUUUUAUUAAAACAUUGUCUAUUCGCUAGAUUUUUCACUACACUCACGAAUGAUAAGCCAACGUUUAAGUUUUACGAUUUUAUUCACACGAUAUCGCAUGAGUUUUACGAUUUUAUUCACAACAAAAUUCACAUGAAAAUAAAUAAAUUUUCACACUUCUGCAUUCGGAGUUCUUGUUCAUAGUGAGGUAUUUCUUAACAAUUCGCCAUGAGAUAUUCUUCGGAUCUUUCGGACUAGUGUGGUGUGCUCCGAGUUGAAGUUCACGUUAGAAUGAAUUUAUUAAUUUUCCAAAUUGCUGUCGGGGUCUGCGCGAAGCGACAGAGCGCGUAAAACCCAGGUAGCUAUGUUUGUAAAAUAGUAGCCACAUUGUUAUGCGCACAUGUGCAAAUGUGAAGGUUUUAAACAAGGAAGACAGAAAAGGUUAAAUGGUAAACAGGUCAGGAUUGAAGUUGUCGUGUUUCCACAUGUACGCCAGAUGGUUGGAAAAAGUGUCGUAUUACUACCACAGUAGAAGUUUUUUUUUCUGCGCCUUCGUCAUUCUCGGGGUUUAAGAUUUUUUCACUAAGUCAUUACCGCAUAUACUGUUUCCAAAUAACCUGUGGUAUCUCGCCGGAGCCUCCAGUUAGGUUUGCUUUUUAGCCAAAAAAAAAAGACGACUACACUUUACUGUGGUCGAACAUCGAAUGUAUUAUUUUUCUCAACAUUUUUCUUCGGCAGGUUCAACGCUUCCACAACACCACGGGGAAAGAAUCUUUUGUACAGAUUUCGUGAAUUGACCGUUGGUCACUUAUCAUUUGUGGCGUGCUGAAUCGCGUCUCAAGGUCGCCAUUUGAUAGGAUUAAUACUCAGUUUGUUAAGAAUGAUCCGAAUCUGAACUUAAACUUUGAUCAUUUCUUAAUUUAUAACUUAAACCUAGCAUUGUAUAGGAAAAAGUUGUAUAUUGUUGGUCUAUUUACUUGUAUGGUGUUCUACAGAGGCUACGAAGGCUACACCAACUAGCUCCACCAGUCGCCGCUGAACUGUCCGGGAACUCACAGUCAAGUUCAGUUCAUCUCGGAUCUUUUUCGGGGUCUUGAAGGGAUCUAUCUUGGAGGCUCUUUUGAUGUCAGGGUCAUUCUUCGAGGUCAUUUUCCUCGAGCGUCCAGUCGUUUCAGAUUUUCUUGCGGUAGCGGAGGGCAUUAAACACGAUGGUUUCGGAUCGUCCCAAUUACUUUUCGAUUUCGCGUUGACUGCUGCCAGCGUUGGACAUUUUGCGGAUGACCAUCAUUUUACCAGUGCCUUCGUCCUUUUUUAUCCGUUCUUGUUUCUGCCUCACUGAAAGGUUUCACUUUUAGAUCUUGACUUGAAGAUAUCCAUUUGCUCUGUCGAAAAGGAAUCUUCCGACUGUGCUCAUUCGUGAGUUUACAUUUGCUGCCCAAGCCCUAUGGGCCCGAUCUAUCAUGUCCUGUGGAGCUGUGUCGUGGAGGGUUUUAAUAUACGUGAGCCAAUUCGAUCAAUUUCUGUCUCUCGGGACUGCCCCCAGUUCCUCAUCAUCUGGAUUCCCGAUAUUGAAGGCUACAGGUGCUUCCUCAUCGGAGUCGAUUUGUGGUCUAGUCUUAUAUUGCAUUUGUAGAUCUGCGAUGUCUCUUAAGACUUCUGCCGUGAUCACUGCGUUGACAACGGGGCUGGUUACGUCUGGAACGUCAACUAAUCGAGCAUUAACCGACCUUUGGACACCCAUCGUUGUCCCGACGGUGUGUAUAAAGAAAUGGAGGUUAUGAUUAACACUCGCUGAGUAUGGAGACUUUAGGGAAAGAUCUAACUCCAUGGAAUAGGGGCAGUAUGACCGGGUGUUUUCUAUUUCUUGGUCUCUAACUAAGAUACGAUUUGAGUCCCAAGCGACCUUUGGGGUCCAGAUCCAAAGUGCGAUGUCCUUAAACUCCAUCCUAACUAGUUGAUUGAGGUAAUGGCACCCCACGAGCAUUGAGCAAUCAUUGAAUCGUGAAACAAUGGUGCCCAUUCGAAUCAUUGAAUAGGGAAACAAGGGGAAUUCCUGCACAUACAUAUCACAUCCUGCCAUAAUUCUUUUGAACGGUUAGUAAGAUGCCAAUGCUUAUAUGAGGUGAUUUCCAUGUCGAUUUGUACAGCUGGUUCCCCGAAGCUGCGCAUUACCUCUUGAAAUCGCUCGCACACCUGCUCACGGUAAUCUUGACGAGUUAUCAUGUUCAGCCGGUAAACGGCAGCAAAAGCGACUAAGUAUUUGAUGCGAUUGUUUUGAUUGUUUUUUUUUUUUAGAAUAUCGUCUGAAUUAUGUGAACCACGACUGUGUUUCACAUAAUUCAGAAAAACAAAGAUAUCGGCUAUUUUAAUUUUAUUAAAACAUCGUCUAUUCGCUAGAUUUUUCACUACACUCACGAAUGAUAAGUCAACCGCAUGAGUUUUACGAUUUUAUUCACACGAUAUCGCAUGAGUUUUACGGUUUUAUUCACAACAAAAUUCACAUGAAAAUAAAUAAAUUUUCACACUUCUGCAUUCGGCGUUCUUGUUCAUAGAAGGUUUUUUUUCUGCACCUUCGUCAUACUCGACAGGUUCAACGCUUCCACAACACCAUGGUGAAAGAAUCUUUUGUACAGAUUUCGUGAAUUGACCGGGACAAAAAGCGAAUCGGAAGCGACUUGAAACAUGUCCUAUCUGAUUGACGAUUCAAACUAAACUGAAUUGCACUUUAGUUAUUUAUCACUUUUGGCGUUCGUUUACUUUGGUCACUUAUCAUUUAUGGUGUGCUGAUUCGCGUCUCACGGUCGCCAUUUGAUAGGAUUAUUACUCAGUUUGUUAAGAAUGACCCGAAUCUAUUGAAACUGAACUUAAACUUUAAUCACUUCUUAAUUUAAAACUUAAACCUAGCAUUGUAUAGGAAAAAGUUGUAUAUUGUUGGUCUAUUUGCUUGUAUGGUGUUCUACAGAGGCUACGAAAUGUGGCAUGUGCAUCACACAUGGCAUCGAAUCCUGUUCAAUCACAGCAGAACGCAUAAGAAGAUCUCUUUCAAGUGCUUCACCGGGAUGGACGUUCCGUUGAUCUCAAUUAAAUCCUCAUCCUUGACCUUUUCCUUGACUGAUCCGGAUUUGUUUGCAUGUUGCUUUAUGGUGGUGUAGAUGGUCCAUAGGGUAGCUGUGACUUUGCUAACUUCAUCAAUGUCAUGGCCUUGAGGAGGGUUGAGGUCAAAACCGAAUCUCUUGAGGAGUGCCACAUGCAAGUGGUGAACUGCCAACCUCAUCUUCCUGUUAAGGGUUAGGUUUAUCUCAGGCUUUGAUAGAGCUUUGGAGCUAGUCUUCUGUUGCACUCGUAUGUAAAUCAUCUCGCUUCUGUUGCAUUCGUACAAUAAUCAGCUUAAUUUCUCGAAUUGGUAUGUUGUAGUGUUAUUUUCCGACGGGUUUACUGUCAUCCCGUUUCGCGCACUUUCAGUUUAUUUCGCACUGUUCCCUAAAUCGUUUUUGUAGACACACACUUGUGUACACUGUCACUUUGUCAGUUUUUUAAAUUGUGGUCAGAUCCGAAAUAGUUUUCGCAGCUUUCAAAGCCUGCGCACGGGUGUGUUCUUUGUAAAGUUUGUACACUGUUAUAAGCAAUUGCACAGAGACGAUCACGAGUAUAAUCGUGAGUUUGACUUCGUGCUCUCUAUGCCGCUCUGCGUGAAUUUCCAGUCUAUUUAAAACUUGGACCUGGGGGUCCCCGGAAUUCGGAUUUUUUUCGGGGCCUUGAAGGAAUCUAUCUUGGAGGCUCUUUUGAUGUCUUUGAUGUUUUCGGGGUCAUUUUCCUCGAGCGUCCAGUCGUUUAAGAUUUUUUUGCGGCAGCGGAGGGCAUUAAACACGAUGGUUUCGGAUCGUCCCAAUUACUUUUCGAUUUCGCGUUGACUGCAGCCAGCAUUGGACAUUUACCAGUGCCUUCGCUCUUUUUUAUCCGUUCUUGUUUUUGCCUCACCGAAAGGUCUUGAACUUUUUGGAUCUUGACUUGGUCUGAAGUUUAUUUUUCAGGAUCCGACGGAGACUUCGAUCAAAUACGUUGAGAUCCACUACCAAUUUGGUUCAUCUAUCCAUCUUUUUUUCUCUAAGCCAAUCCAACAGGCCUUGAAAAAAACUAACAAUUUUCUUUCGCCCGUUACGUCCAUCAGUUGUUUAUCAAAUACGUCUCAAACUCAUUUCAUCGCUCCAAUCAGAGAAGAAAUUUACCUAAACCAACUCAAUCGUACUUGGAAAGUUACGCUAAAACCAACUGAAAUCAACGCAAGAAUCACUCAGAAUUCUUUCUAAAGAUUAGCGUUUUAAUACGUACCAAUACUGACAACUCCGUUUAAGAGUCAAAUAAUCAUCAUUCUUUUAUCAAUGACUGAAGAUCCCCCAGCAGACUCAAAUUUACUUAAACUCACCUGCUCAGUUAUCUCACAUUUAAUCUCUUUGCUAAACGGUGAUGGUGGAAUCAGAGCAACUCAUUUGUUGAAUGUUUUACAGUCACUGCACUAUAAAUAUGAAAAAAAAAAUGUAUUGGAAAUCGCACUUUCAUAGAUCCCUUCGCGUACAAUUCUACUCCCAAAUGAUGUAGAAGGUUAUUCUAAAGUCAGUAUGUUAUUUUAUUUGAUGUAAAAGGUGCAUAUUUCUGAACUAGUAUCGUUUACUAUGUCAAAAUAUUCAUUGUGACAACACCGGUUUAUGCUGCUUGUAAAAUCAUUGGUUACACUGAAAAAGUACAAUUCGUUGCUAUGGUUCAAUAAAAAGCAUAAACAGUCUUUAUAGGUACUUAACGAAACUUUCUUUUUAACACGUUUUUUAUUUACUUGACAACCGUCAUGGCAACGACGCUACUUUACAUUGAGUUUGUUGUCAGCUUCUCGUCUUGCAAUGUCAUAGUAAUCUGCGAUGUUUUUGGAAAAAAUAGCAGAGCAUCAAAACUUGUUCACAAGUUCUUGUACGCAAUAAAAGCAUGCCACGCUGCUUUCGUAUCAGUUUGUUUUUGUUUUUUUUUUUAUCUUUCAUUUUGAAAACUCAAUAAAAAGGUGAGCCAUGAUUAUCCGAUUCAGACAGACAGAAAAAGCUCACGACUCUCAGCUGGGUUCCGAUUGCAGUUAUUUCGAUCGACGGUUGAUCCCUUUUUCCCCCACGUGCGUACAACAUAACCAGUGACAUACAAGCCUGUGUAAAUAUGAACAGCAUUCUUUCCAAACUCCCCACCCUACACUAGGAAACAAAAUCAAGAGAGGAAUAAAAAAAAACAAUAUUGCAUAAUGUAAAUUGUUGUACAGUUGUAUAAAGCUAGUAACCCUACUUUAAAAAAUAGAUUAAACUACGCGAAAGUUCUUGUCUGUAAAUACGGCGACAAAUACAGAAUAACGCAAAAUCAAACGACAUGAAACAUGGUGUAAAAUAGUACAAAUAGCUAAUAUAAAUAAAACACAAAAGAGAAAUUUAUGCUAAAUCACGCAACAGAAGUGGAAUACUGCGAGUAAUAUAUUUGAAAAAAAAAAACACUUAAAGUGAAAUAAUAACUACUUGAAUUAAACACUAGCUCAUACUUGUAAAAAGGUAAAACAAAAAGAAAACUCAGCAUGGCUAAUAAUUAGCGAAUAGAAACUACUUGUAAGCUAUAAACAGAAGUUUUAAAACACGCAAACCGGACCGAACCGGUUCGAGCUAAGCCGGGCUGUUGUUUCUUCUCUGGAACAGCAGCCGACGGAACUAAAUUAUUUGCAAGUGAAUAUAUAGUUAAGAUAUGCAAAAACAAAACUCUAGCUUGAAGGAAGCGCGUGCGAGUAGCAACGAUUAUCACACCUACUUAACAUUGAUACAAUGAACAUGUUAAAGAGCUACUUUUUUAUUAUUGGUUUUAGAUUUCUUUACAUCUUACCUGAUAAUCCAUCGAUUGCUGCUGCUCGCGAGACAAUGUAUAAUACUUUUUAACCUACCUAACUCUAGAUAGAAAUCUUGAUGCAGUGCGUUAUAGAGAUCUGCUAAGCUCCCCUAAUGUAAAAAAAAGAAAGAUUAUGACUAGAGAUAAGCUACUAGUGAGUAAGUCUAAUUCGAGUGUUCGCCUGAACCUCAUAUACAUCCACAACCAGACAGAAAAAAAAACACAUACACAACAGGUAAAAAACCAUUAUGUUUAAAUGUUCUUUUUUGUAUAUUUAUAACAUUUUUUUAAAGACAAAACAUGGUUAUUGAAAAUGCGACGAAAAAGAAAGAAAAAAAACUUGUACUAUACAAAAUGAUGAAUCGAUUCAAGAUUAAAAUAAAGAAAUAAUUGAAAAAUUA
Molecule: long non-coding RNA, 30420 nt
Organism: Wyeomyia smithii (pitcher-plant mosquito)
Lineage: Eukaryota; Metazoa; Arthropoda; Insecta; Diptera; Culicidae
Exons: 2
Source: RefSeq, a predicted model, not a curated record